AUUUAUAAUGAGACUGUUAUGUUCCCUAUAUUUUAAUACUGGCUGUAAUCCUUUUCUUGAGAUCCGGUAUCUAUUGUGAAUCAAGCGCUUCAUUAGCAAAUUAAUUCUCGGUCUGUAAAAAACUAUCGGAAUCAAGUAAGAAGUAAUUGCUGCCGCUUCAUCAAUCCCGGCUCUCUUCCAAAACCUGGGCGGUGACAGAGGCUGCCGCGGAGCAAACUGAGGUGGUGGGUGGCAGCGGAAAUUGACACCCACAAUGCAGGCACAAAAGAGGAGGCGACCGAGACGAGCAGUCGAGCGAGCUCCCAGUAGUACCUGCGCUGUUCGCCAUGAAAACGGAGAGCUCUCUGCCUGCCUUUCCCGCGCGCGCACCACGCGGUUGCCGAGUUCCAGGCACUUUCUGGUGCAUCCGUCCCUGCCACGACUUCCCAGGGACCUCCACGCAUCUCCCGUGGCGCCCCAUCGGAUCCCCACUCCCCGUGAUUCGCCUCGGAAGCCCCGGCUCCUGUGUUGAGGGCUUAGACCCCUGCUAUUUUAAGAGGCACUGGGGGCUAAUUGGAGGAAAUGGGUCAUCUGGGCCAUGUCCUUGGGUGCCUUGCACCCUUCCUAUCUCUGCUUCUUAGCUGCCAUGAGGAUCUCAUGGUUUGGCUCAGGGCUGGCGUCAGACCACAAUCCUACCUCUGCUUUUACACACAGGCAUGACCAUCACCCCUCUGGCUUGUAAGUUGACAUGAGAUCUCAUUAACUUUUUGAAGGCUUAGAACGAAAGCCUUCUCAAUCUCCAUUUCCUGUAGGUAGCUAGGAUUAUAGACAUAUGCCAGGAGUAAAAAAAAAAAAUUAUUGAAGUCCUUUUGGUAUCUCUAAUAUCUAGCAUGUUAUGUGGCACAUUAUCAUUGAUCAUAAUAGCUUAAUCCCUUGUAUUUCUGUUUUUCAUACUUUAAAAGCAGCUUGAUGUUUCUUUUCUGUUACCUGGAAUACUAUUUUUUUUCCAAAUCAUCAGAGAAGUAAAAACAUAUACAAAUUUCUCUUAUUGAACCCUCACUACUACUUUUUUUU
Perognathus longimembris pacificus (Pacific pocket mouse) is the source of this 1053-nucleotide long non-coding RNA. RefSeq lists it as uncharacterized. The record is from RefSeq and is a predicted model, not a curated record. The transcript is spliced from 3 exons. Lineage: Eukaryota; Metazoa; Chordata; Mammalia; Rodentia; Heteromyidae.